Molecule: ribosomal RNA, 446 nt
Filed under: uncultured bacterium
Lineage: Bacteria
Description: SSU rRNA
Rfam family: Bacterial small subunit ribosomal RNA
Source: RNAcentral
AGGGCGAACGCUGGCGGCAGGCCUAACACAUGCAAGUCGAGCGGCCGUAGCAAUACGGCAGCGGCAGACGGGAGAGUAACACGUGGGAACGCGCCCUUCGGUUCGGAAUAACUCAGGGAAACUUGGGCUAAUACCGGAUACGCCCUUACGGGGAAAGAUUUAUUGCCGAAGGAACGGCCCGCGUCCGAUUAGCUUGUUGGUGAGGUAACGGCUCACCAAGGCGACGAUCGGUAGCUGGUCUGAGAGGAUGACCAGCCUCACUGGGACUGAGACACGGCCCAGACUCCUACGGGAGGCAGCAGUGGGGAAUAUUGGACAAUGGGCGCAAGCCUGAUCCAGCCAUGCCGCGUGGGUGAUGAAGGCCCUAGGGUUGUAAAGCCCUUUCGGCGGGGAAGAUAAUGACGGUACCGCAGAAGAAGCCCGGCUAACUUCGUGCCAGCAGCCGC